RNAcentral lists this ribosomal RNA (301 nucleotides) under uncultured bacterium. RNAcentral's name for it is "partial 16S ribosomal RNA". It matches the Rfam family "Bacterial small subunit ribosomal RNA", at positions 509 to 807 of the family's 1533-position model. The record is from RNAcentral.
CAGUAGCCACGGGAAUACGUAGGUGGCAAGCGUUGUCCGGAUUUAUUGGGCGUAAAGCGAGCGCAGGCGGUUUCUUAAGUCUGAUGUGAAAGCCCCCGGCUCAACCGGGGAGGGUCAUUGGAAACUGGGAGACUUGAGUGCAGAAGAGGAGAGUGGAAUUCCAUGUGUAGCGGUGAAAUGCGUAGAUAUAUGGAGGAACACCAGUGGCGAAGGCGGCUCUCUGGUCUGUAACUGACACUGAGGCUCGAAAGCGUGGGGAGCAAACAGGAUUAGAUACCCCCGUAGUCCCUGUCUCUUAUAC